UUUGCGUAACCACAUUCAUCUUAGUUACUAACCUGAAAACUAGAGGGCGAUAGUAGGUACUUAACGCGAUAACAGUACAAACUAUCAAAGAAUACAGUAUGCUUGGACUUUCAACUAUGGAUUUUGAAGGGGACGGAAAAUUUUAUCCUCGAAAUCAUCACUGCGCAGGAGCGUUAAAAUAAUUACUUAAAAACGAAGAUAUUCUUCGUACAGAAACACGAUAUAUACAUUUUUUCGACAUACUCUGCAUUUUAUGGAUGUAGGCUUCUCAUACUUACACGGGUAUUUCAAAUUGUUAAAUUUAACAAUAAACCUUUGAGAUUUUCUUCUA
This 331-nucleotide long non-coding RNA is filed under the name Polistes fuscatus (common paper wasp). RNAcentral's name for it is "uncharacterized LOC122516505". Lineage: Eukaryota; Metazoa; Arthropoda; Insecta; Hymenoptera; Vespidae. The record is from RNAcentral.